ACCUGGCUGGCUCAGUCAGUAGAGCACGUGACCCUGGAUCUUGGGGUUGUGAGUUCAAGUCCCAUGUUAAGUG
RNAcentral lists this transfer RNA (73 nucleotides) under Felis catus (domestic cat). It matches the Rfam family "tRNA". Rfam says of the family: Transfer RNA (tRNA) molecules are approximately 80 nucleotides in length. RNAcentral also lists the same sequence under 4 other names. Lineage: Eukaryota; Metazoa; Chordata; Mammalia; Carnivora; Felidae. The record is from Rfam by way of RNAcentral.